ACGGGUGAGUAACACGUAGGUAACCUGCCUAUGAGACUGGGAUAACUAUCGGAAACGAUAGCUGAGACCGGAUAACUGGUUUUCUCGCAUGAGAGAAUCAUGAAACACGGAGCAAUCUGUGGCUUAUAGAUGGGCCUGCGGCGCAUUAGCUAGUUGGUAGGGUAAUGGCCUACCAAGGCGACGAUGCGUAGCCGACCUGAGAGGGUGAACGGCCACACUGGGACUGAGACACGGCCCAGACUCCUACGGGAGGCAGCAGUAGGGAAUCUUCCGCAAUGGACGCAAGUCUGACGGAGCAACGCCGCGUGAGUGAUGAAGGUUUUCGGAUCGUAAAGCUCUGUUGCCCUAGACGAACAGCAAGGAGAGUAACUGCUCUUUGUGUGACGGUAUAGGAGAAGAAAGCCCCGGCUAACUACGUGCCAGCAGCCGCGGUAAUACGUAGGGGGCAAGCGUUGUCCGGAAUUAUUGGGCGUAAAGCGCGCGCAGGCGGUCAAUUAAGUUGGGUGUUUAAGCCCGGGGCUCAACCCCGGUUCGCAUCCAAAACUGGUUGACCUGAGUGUAGGGGAGGAAAGUGGAAUUCCACGUGUAGC
Molecule: ribosomal RNA, 590 nt
Filed under: uncultured bacterium
Lineage: Bacteria
Description: bacterial SSU rRNA
Rfam family: Bacterial small subunit ribosomal RNA
Source: RNAcentral